This is a non-coding RNA of Triticum urartu, 5761 nucleotides long. The record is from RefSeq and is a predicted model, not a curated record. Lineage: Eukaryota; Viridiplantae; Streptophyta; Magnoliopsida; Poales; Poaceae.
CGUUCGGGGCUGGAGCUUCGGCCAAGUCGGGCCGCAACCGCUCUAAUCGGUUUGUUUGUUUCCCAACAAUUUGGAUGGUGGAAGAGACCAAAGAGCGAUUUUUCUCUCUCCUUGCGUAUCAUGGCGCUCAUGCGGUAGCGGUUCCCAGGGCAUGAGACUCGUAUGAGAUCGUGAUUUGUUCGCGGUUUUCUUGGGCGAGCCUUGCAUCGCUGCCCACCCUUGGCGAUGGCGGAGCGAGUUCCUGUCGAGGCUACCAGAGUAGCGAUGUCAGGGGAAGGUGGGACUACUGGCACGGAGGUGGAUCGUCUUCUUUCGGCUGGGGGAAGUGGUGUUCUUGCGCCAUCGCCUUCCGUUGUGGAAGUUCCUGCAGUGGCCUUCAAUCCUGCGCAGGAGGCGCACAGUUCACACUCCGCUUCCGGUGUUGAGGAUAUGCUCGAGCGUCUUCAUCUCACGGCGAUUGAGGCGCAACCGGUGAUGGUGGAUGAUGACGAUGAUGCUGAUCUGGUUGUCUCGGAUUGCGCACUAGUGGGGAAGGUCCUCUCCCCUACUGUCCUCCAUAACAACACAAUUUCAUCGGCAAUGAGGCUGGCCUGGGGAAAUCCUAGGGGUCUGCUAUUUCACCCGGCGGGUAGCAACCUGUUUGUGGCUGAGUUUAGCACUGAGAUGGACAGGGAUCGUGUUCUGGAUGGUUCGCCAUGGAUGGUGGGCAAGCAUGCUAUCUUACUCAAGGUUUUUGAUCCUAACAUACAACCAAUGCGAGUGGAGUUUAAUACUCUCUCUAUUUGGGCACGUAUUAUGGCCCUGCCGCCCAGAUUGAUGAAGUCUAAACUGGGUAUGGAGUUUGAUAUGCCAAUUGGUAGAAUUGAGCGUGUGGAAGCGGAUGCUGAUGGAAGAUGAUGGGGUGCUUUGAUGCGUGUCCGGGCAGAUAUUAUGGUACAGGAACCGUUGGUUCGGUAUGUCACUAUCAGUUCUGCGAAGACGAAGACGACUGAAACCUAUGUUGUUAUGUAUGAGAGUUUGCCAUAUUAUUGCUACUCAUGUGGUAUUCUAGGUCAUUCCUCCAUGCUUUGCCCAAACCCAGGUACACGUGAUGUGAACAGAGACCUUCCUUAUGCUGCGAAGAAAUUGUGUGUUAUGGAGGUCUUGUCCAGGAAAUCAAGUGGAUCCAAGUCGGGCAAUAAUUUUUCAUAUUCAUCUUUUGAUCCAAGGAACCGGGCUAACAGUGCUACUUCUGAUGAUGCCAGACCAGCUAAUAAUAGUGGCAAGUAUUUCCCCCAAAAUUAUGAGGGUGUUGGGGAAGCUGAGAGAUCAUCUCCUAUCAUGAACAACCGAUCAGGCAGGGGGCGUGGUCGUUCCUCUAGUGGCCGGAGCCAUGGUCGGUCUGCCGUUGCUGGAGAUGAGAUCUUUCCUUAUCAGAGGACCAAGAACAGUAUGGCUGGACAGAAGAGGAAGCCCACUAAGAAUCAUGUUUCUGUGCAUUUAUCAGAUGCGCAACCUUCAAGUUCUGCUGGUAUUUUGACUAUUGUGGUUUCUGACAAAUCUGGCAAAGAUGUUGGCACGUCUACUGAGGUGAGAGUUUGUGACUCAAACAAGAAACAAUGUAUUAAACCUUCUCGAUCGGCGGAUCCGGCGAAGGCUGCAGUGCAGCCCCGCCAAACGCAAUGAAUAUUUUAUGCUGGAACUGUCGAGGAUUGGGUUCGGCCUCGACAGUUGGCGAGCUUCGCCGGCUUGUGAAGCUUCAUCGACCCACCCUCCUCUUUCUGUCUGAGACAAAGAUGAGGGAUACUCAUGUCCGUAAUUUUAUGUGGUCUUUAGGUUUUUCUGGUUGUUUUGCUAUCAGUUCUGAGGGACAAAGUGGUGGUCUAGCUCUAUUCUGGAGGGAGUCGGUAACUGUAUCUUUGAAGGCAUGUAACUCAAGAUGUAUUGAUGUUCUUGUAUCUUCUGACUUGACUACAACAUGGAGAGCUAUAUUUGUUUAUGGUGAACCAAGAAGAGAAGAUAGGGCUAAUUUUUGGGGUCUUCUUCGACGUUUGAAACCGUUGUGGAAUGGUCCUUGGAUUAUAUGUGGGGAUUUUAAUGAAGUUCUCUCUCAUGAUGAGCACCUUGGCCCUCGUGAUCGCUCUAAACAACAAAUCGCUGCAUUUCGUGAUUGUUUGAGGGAUUGUGAUUUGAGGGACCUGGGCUUCUCUGGUCCCAAGUUUACUUGGUGCAAUCGUCAAGAUUCAAAUGGCCAUGUCAAAGUUCACCUAGACAGGGCUGUUGUGAGCAUUGCUUUUACUGACUGUUUUAAUGGGUUUCACGUGAAAAAUAUCAUUGCUACCUCAUCUGACCAUUAUGCCAUCCGUAUUGGGCUAUCUUGCUUUACGCAGGAAUGUGAGCGACGCCCGGUGUAGCAAGGUUUCAAGUUUGAGGCCAUGUGGUUGUGCGCCACCGAUUACAAGGAAACUAUGGAGCAAGCUUGGGCUGAUGGUAGAAAUGGUGAGAUUACUCUUCAGUCCACAUGGGAUAAUCUACACAAAGUGACGACAUCUUUGAAAACCUGGAGUCGUGAUUGUUUUGGGUCUGUUCAUAAACAAAAUUUUAAACUGGAAAGACGUUUGUGGUCAAUUCGGGCUGCCCCAAUCUCAGCUGCAAGUGUAACUGAGGAACGUGCUUUAGAGAAACAUUUAUGUGAGCUUUUUGAACGGGAAGAAAUAAUGGAGCGUCGACGCUCUAGGAUUGACUGGCUCAAGGAAGGUGACCGUAAUACCGAUUUUUCCCAAGCACGUGCCAAGGCUCGUAGGCGCAUCAAUAGAAUUCAUUCUCUUCAGCAAGAUGAUGGAUCAAUAUGUGAGUCACAAGAUGCGAUAAAAAAAUAUGGUGCAACAAUUUUAUGAUGAGCUUUUUACUUCUCAACCUUGUGAUACUUCUGCAGUUCUUGAUGCUAUUACUCCUAAAGUUUCUCCAGAAAUGAAUGAUGAUUUGUGUAAACCCUAUUCUAAUGAGGAGAUCAAGACCGCUUUAUUCCAGAUGGGGCCUACCAAGGCGCCGGGACCAGAUGGUUUUCCAGCAUUGUUUUACCAGACCCAUUGGAAUUUUCUGGAAGAAGAAAUUUGUCAGGCUGUUAGAAGUUUUCUUGAAGGAAAUCCAAUUCCUGAUGGUUUUUGCGAUUCAGUGAUUGUGCUUAUUCUGAAGGUGUCUAGGCUGAAGCAGCUUAAAUUUUUUAGGCCAAUCAGUCUAUGUAAUGUGUUGUACAAGAUUGCCUCUAAGGUGCUUGCUAACCGUUUAAAGUUGCUUUUGCCAGUUCUCAUUUCUGAUUUUCAGAGUGCUUUUGUGCCUGGCCGUUUAAUUACUGACAAUGCUCUUAUUGGAUAUGAGUGUCUGCACACUAUUCGACAACAGAGGGCUAAGCAACCUUUCUUUGCAAUGAAGAUUGAUAUGAUGAAGGCCUAUGACCGUGUGGAGUGGGAUUAUCUUCAUGGAUGUCUCUCCAAACUUGGUUUUGCCCUAGCAUGGAUUAAUUCCGUUAUGAGAUGUGUUACUAAUGUUCGCUAUGCUGUCAGGGUCAAUGGAGAUCUUACCGAGCCAGUUGUGCCCUCUAAAGGUAUCCGAUAGGGUGAUCCAAUAAGUCCUUACUUGUUCCUCUUAUGCACUGAAGGAUUGUCAAGUCUGUUAGUACAGAAGGAGAACUGUGACGAGCUACAUGGUAUCAAGAAUGGUCGUCUAGGCCCACCUAUCUCACAUCUCUUCUUUGCCGAUGACAUCAUCUUCUUUGCAUGGAGUGAUACACGUAGUGUGGAGGCUUUGAAGUCCACCUUGAAUCUUUAUUGCCAAGGUUCUGGCCAGUUAGUCAACAAGGAUAAAUCUGCUUUGUUUUUUGGAAAGAAGUGUUCGGUGCAGGUCAAACAUAGAGUUAAAAAUCUGUUAGGGAUUUCAAAUGAAGCUUUCAAUGACUCCUAUCUUGGUAUGCCAUCAGAGGUUGGCAAAUCCCCAACAAAAACUUUCAAAUUUUUGAUUGUUCAUGCUUGGGCUAGCAUUUCUGGAUGGUCUCAACGUCCAAUUUCCAGAGCUGGAAAAGAAGCCUUGCUAAAGUCCAUUAUCCAGGCUAUCCCGACAUACAUUAUGAGUUGUUUCCAACUGCCAAUUGAUAUUUGUGAGAAAUUCCGUCAAAUAAUUGCUGAUGAGUGGUGGGGCCGCGAAGAUGGAAAACGAAAAAUGCAUUGGCGCUCGUGGGAGUGGUUGACUACACCCAAGGCUCUUGGAGGUAUGGGCUUUCGUGACAUGGACCUUUUCAAUCUGGUUAUGCUCGCCAAGUAGGGAUGGAGGCUACUGACGAAUCCAUUCUUGCUUUAUGCUCGGGUUUUGAAAGGACGAUAUUUCCCCACUUCUGAUUUCUGGAAUGCAUUAGCGCCAAGGUCUGCGUCUGCUACUUGGCGUGCUAUAUUAGCCGGACGUGAUUUACUCCAGAAGGGAGUCAGGUGGGGCAUUGAUAAUGGUGAAGAUGUUUAUAUUCUCUCAGAUCAUUGGAUCCCUUCGACUCCUCCAAAGUGACUGUAUCCUUUUCUGCCUAUACCUGCUAAUGUUAAGGUAAAAUGCUUGAUUGAUGAGGAAUCUAGUACAUGGAAUCAAGAUUCUGUUAGGGCCUUUUUCCGUGAUGAUAUUGUUGCAGAAAUUCUCCGCAUUCCUAUAAGCAGGCAUGGUGGUGUGGAUUUUGCAAGCUGGCCUCUCACUAUGUCUGGUGAAUAUUCGGUGCGAUUUGCAUACAAUAUGGCGCGAUCGACGCGUUUUCUUGAAACUCGCAGCAACUGUGGUUCUAGACAAUCCUCGAGUGUGGCUGCUGAGGAGAAGAGUUGGAAGGCGAUAUGGUUUAUUAAAGCACCCAACAAAAUGAAGGUCGCACUUUAGCGUUUCGUUCAUGAUUGCCUUCCAUCUGGGGCUCAAUUGCAACACCACCAUGUUCCUGAUGCUGCGUGUUGUUGCUUCUAUGGGCGACUGGAAAGCGUGGAGCACGCCAUACUUUUUUGUCCGCGUGCAAAAACUGUUUGGGAUGCGAUCAAGGAGUGGUCUGUCAUUCAGCUUCGUCGCUCUUCUUUCAGGAAUACCAAACUUUGGCUUUUUGAUUUUCUCUCAAGAUCUUCUGACAAAGAAGCCAUGGUUCUGGCUGUUUCUUUUUGGCACUUAUGGGAAGCACGAAAUGAUGCGCGGCAUUCGUUAGAAGCUCCACAUCCUCGUAUUACAAUUGAGAAAAUCCGUGCUUAUACUGAUUAGAUUCUGCAGCAUCUCUAUAUCCAAAUACCUUUCAUUAGGCGUGAGUCUUCUUCACCCAAUCCAAUAUGGACUUCACCGCCGCCUGGUGUUAUUGCCAUCAACUCGGAUGCUGAAAUCUUUUUAGAUAUAAACAUGUCAGGUGCUGGAGUGGUGGCCUUAAACCAUGAAGGUAGAUGUGUUGCUGCAUGUUUUGAACCUAUUCAAGGCACGAUGGAGUCUGAACUAGCUGAGGCGCCAGCUCUACGAAGGGUUGUAUACCUGGCAAAUGAUGAACAUUUUUCAAAUAUUUUAUUUGCAUCAGAUUGCCAAUCGCUGGUAAAUAGAAUUAUUUCUGGCAAAAUUGGUCGUUCCAGUAUCGGUACGGUGAUUAAUGAUAUCAAGUUUGCUUUAAGGGGCUUUGUGUCUGCGGAAUUCAAGCAUGUUCGUCGGCAAGUUAAUGUGGAUACUCAUCUAUUAGCUAAGUCUUGUAAGAAUUUGUCUAAUCUAGUUAUUUUUCAUUCUAUUUCGGAUCGUA